This is a non-coding RNA of Caenorhabditis elegans, 150 nucleotides long. The record is from Ensembl. Lineage: Eukaryota; Metazoa; Nematoda; Chromadorea; Rhabditida; Rhabditidae.
AAGUUGCGAUGUGUUGGAACAACGAACUACAAACCAAAAAAUGAGGGAAAAUGUCCCGUUCCCGUGAAAAUUUGAAAAACGGGACAACGGGAAUUCCCGUUCCCGUGAAAAUUUGAAAAACGGGACAACGGGAAUUCCCGUUCCCGGGAA